GCGGGGAGGGGGGGCCUAACCCAUGCAAGGUUCGAGCGCACCCUUCGGGGUGAGCGGCGGACGGGUGAGUAACGCGUGGGAAUAUGCCCUUUGGUACGGAAUAGUCCUGGGAAACUGGGGGUAAUACCGUAUGCGCCCUUCGGGGGAAAGAUUUAUCGCCAAAGGAUUAGCCCGCGUUGGAUUAGGUAGUUGGUGGGGUAAUGGCCUACCAAGCCGACGAUCCAUAGCUGGUUUGAGAGGAUGAUCAGCCACACUGGGACUGAGACACGGCCCACACUCCUACGGGAGGCAGCAGUGGGGAAUCUUAGACAAUGGGGGCAACCCUGAUCUAGCCAUGCCGCGUGAGUGAUGAAGGCCCUAGGGUUGUAAAGCUCUUUCAGCUGGGAAGAUAAUGACGGUACCAGCAGAAGAAGCCCCGGCUAACUCCGUGCCAGCAGCCGCGGUAAUACGGAGGGGGCUAGCGUUGUUCGGAAUUACUGGGCGUAAAGCGCACGUAGGCGGACCGGAAAGUUGGGGGUGAAAUCCCGGGGCUCAACCCCGGAACUGCCUUCAAAACUAUCGGUCUGGAGUUCGAGAGAGGUGAGUGGAAUUCCGAGUGUAGAGGUGAAAUUCGUAGAUAUUCGGAGGAACACCAGUGGCGAAGGCGGCUCACUGGCUCGAUACUGACGCUGAGGUGCGAAAAGCGUGGGGAGCAAACAGGAUUAGAUACCCUGGUAGUCA
RNAcentral lists this ribosomal RNA (720 nucleotides) under Paracoccus sp. (in: a-proteobacteria). RNAcentral's name for it is "bacterial SSU rRNA". It matches the Rfam family "Bacterial small subunit ribosomal RNA", at positions 35 to 796 of the family's 1533-position model. Lineage: Bacteria; Pseudomonadati; Pseudomonadota; Alphaproteobacteria; Rhodobacterales; Paracoccaceae. The record is from RNAcentral.